This 1240-nucleotide ribosomal RNA is filed under the name Bacteroides ovatus CL02T12C04. RNAcentral's name for it is "bacterial SSU rRNA". It matches the Rfam family "Bacterial small subunit ribosomal RNA", at positions 277 to 1528 of the family's 1533-position model. The record is from RNAcentral. Lineage: Bacteria; Pseudomonadati; Bacteroidota; Bacteroidia; Bacteroidales; Bacteroidaceae.
CGAUGGAUAGGGGUUCUGAGAGGAAGGUCCCCCACAUUGGAACUGAGACACGGUCCAAACUCCUACGGGAGGCAGCAGUGAGGAAUAUUGGUCAAUGGGCGAGAGCCUGAACCAGCCAAGUAGCGUGAAGGAUGAAGGCUCUAUGGGUCGUAAACUUCUUUUAUAUGGGAAUAAAGUUUUCCACGUGUGGAAUUUUGUAUGUACCAUAUGAAUAAGGAUCGGCUAACUCCGUGCCAGCAGCCGCGGUAAUACGGAGGAUCCGAGCGUUAUCCGGAUUUAUUGGGUUUAAAGGGAGCGUAGGUGGAUUGUUAAGUCAGUUGUGAAAGUUUGCGGCUCAACCGUAAAAUUGCAGUUGAAACUGGCAGUCUUGAGUACAGUAGAGGUGGGCGGAAUUCGUGGUGUAGCGGUGAAAUGCUUAGAUAUCACGAAGAACUCCGAUUGCGAAGGCAGCUCACUAGACUGUCACUGACACUGAUGCUCGAAAGUGUGGGUAUCAAACAGGAUUAGAUACCCUGGUAGUCCACACAGUAAACGAUGAAUACUCGCUGUUUGCGAUAUACAGUAAGCGGCCAAGCGAAAGCAUUAAGUAUUCCACCUGGGGAGUACGCCGGCAACGGUGAAACUCAAAGGAAUUGACGGGGGCCCGCACAAGCGGAGGAACAUGUGGUUUAAUUCGAUGAUACGCGAGGAACCUUACCCGGGCUUAAAUUGCAACAGAAUAUAUUGGAAACAGUAUAGCCGUAAGGCUGUUGUGAAGGUGCUGCAUGGUUGUCGUCAGCUCGUGCCGUGAGGUGUCGGCUUAAGUGCCAUAACGAGCGCAACCCUUAUCUUUAGUUACUAACAGGUCAUGCUGAGGACUCUAGAGAGACUGCCGUCGUAAGAUGUGAGGAAGGUGGGGAUGACGUCAAAUCAGCACGGCCCCUUACGUCCGGGGCUACACACGUGUUACAAUGGGGGGUACAGAAGGCGGCUACCUGGUGACAGGAUGCUAAUCCCAAAAACCUCUCUCAGUUCGGAUCGAAGUCUGCAACCCGACUUCGUGAAGCUGGAUUCGCUAGUAAUCGCGCAUCAGCCAUGGCGCGGUGAAUACGUUCCCGGGCCUUGUACACACCGCCCGUCAAGCCAUGAAAGCCGGGGGUACCUGAAGUACGUAACCGCAAGGAGCGUCCUAGGGUAAAACUGGUAAUUGGGGCUAAGUCGUAACAAGGUAGCCGUACCGGAAGGUGCGGCUGGAACACCU